AUUACCGCGGCUGCUGGCACGGAGUUAGCCGAUGCUUAUUCAUACGGUACUCUCAUCAAUCUAUGCAUAGACCUUAUUGCUCCCGUAUAAAAGCAGUUUACAACCCAUAGGGCCGUCUUCCUGCACGCGGCAUGGCUGGAUCAGAUUUCCAUCCAUUGUCCAAUAUUCCUCACUGCUGCCUCCCGUAGG
This 189-nucleotide ribosomal RNA is filed under the name uncultured bacterium. Its description in RNAcentral is "partial 16S ribosomal RNA". The record is from RNAcentral.